RNAcentral lists this ribosomal RNA (468 nucleotides) under uncultured bacterium. RNAcentral's name for it is "partial 16S ribosomal RNA". It matches the Rfam family "Bacterial small subunit ribosomal RNA", at positions 38 to 507 of the family's 1533-position model. The record is from RNAcentral.
GGGGGGGGGGGGGGGGGGGGGGGGGGGGGGGGGGGCGGGGGGGCGGGCCCUGCUUUUGUGGGGUGCGCGGGUGGCGAACGGGGUGUUGCCCCGGGAGUCGCCUGCCCUUGACUUUGGUUUUACUUCCGGGAACGGGGGCUCAUACCGGAUCGUAGCUCCUGCUGCAUGUGGGGGGUUGGACAGUUUCGGCGGUUGUGGCUGGCCUCGAGGCUUAUCAGCUUGUUGGUGGGGUAGUGGCAUAACAAGGCUUUGCCGGGUAGCCGGCAUGAGAGGGGGAACGGCGACAUGGGGACUGAGAGACGGCACAGACUCCUACGGGAGGCAGCAGGGGGGAAUAUUGCACAAUGGGCGGAAGCCUGAUGCAGAAACGCCGCGUGCGGGAUGACGGCCUUCGGGUUGUAAACCGAUGUCGCAUGUGACGAAGCGUGAGUGACGGUAAUGGGUAAAGAAGCACCGGCUAACUACGUG